GAAUUCCAUGUGUAGCGGUGAAAUGCGCAGAGAUAUGGAGGAACACCAGUGGCGAAGGCGACUUUCUGGUCUGUAACUGACGCUGAUGUGCGAAAGCGUGGGGAUCAAACAGGAUUAGAUCCCCUGGUAGUCCACGCCGUAAACGAUGAGUGCUAAGUGUUAGGGGGUUUCCGCCCCUUAGUGCUGCAGCUAACGCAUUAAGCACUCCGCCUGGGGAGUACGACCGCAAGGUUGAAACUCA
RNAcentral lists this ribosomal RNA (241 nucleotides) under Staphylococcus gallinarum. RNAcentral describes it as "partial 16S ribosomal RNA". It matches the Rfam family "Bacterial small subunit ribosomal RNA", at positions 664 to 903 of the family's 1533-position model. The record is from RNAcentral. Lineage: Bacteria; Bacillati; Bacillota; Bacilli; Caryophanales; Staphylococcaceae.